GAUGAACGCUAGCUACAGGCUUAACACAUGCAAGUCGAGGGACCGGCGCACGGUAAACUAACACGUAUCCAACCAGCCCUUUACUCGGGGAUAGCCUUGCGAAAGAAAGAUUAAUACCCUAUGUAAAAGAUGGGGAUGCGUUACAUUAGGUUGGUGGUGAGGUAACGGCUCACCAAGCCUUCGAAGGAUAGCGGUUAUGAGAGGAAGGUCCCCUGCAACUGAACUGAGACACGGUCUAAACUCCUACGGGAGACAGCAGUGAGGAAUACUGGUCAAUGGUCGUUAGCCUGAACCAGCCCAGUAUAGUUACGGAUUAAGGCUUUUGUGUCGUAAACUUCUUUUAUAUAAGAAUAUGUAUUAUAUGAAUAAGGAUCGGCUAACUCCGUGCCAGCAGCCGCGGUAAUUC
This 406-nucleotide ribosomal RNA is filed under the name uncultured bacterium. RNAcentral's name for it is "partial 16S ribosomal RNA". It matches the Rfam family "Bacterial small subunit ribosomal RNA", at positions 28 to 526 of the family's 1533-position model. The record is from RNAcentral.